UUGCACGCUGGCGGCAGGCCUAACACAUGCAAGUCGAGCGGAUGAAGGGAGCUUGCUCCUGGAUUCAGCGGCGGACGGGUGAGUAAUGCCCAGGAAUCUGCCUGGUAGUGGGGGAUAACGUCCGGAAACGGGCGCUAAUACCGCAUACGUCCUGAGGGAGAAAGUGGGGGAUCUUCGGACCUCACGCUAUCAGAUGAGCCUAGGUCGGAUUAGCUAGUUGGUGGGGUAAAGGCCUACCAAGGCGACGAUCCGUAACUGGUCUGAGAGGAUGAUCAGUCACACUGGAACUGAGACACGGUCCAGACUCCUACGGGAGGCAGCAGUGGGGAAUAUUGGACAAUGGGCGAAAGCCUGAUCCAGCCAUGCCGCGUGUGUGAAGAAGGUCUUCGGAUUGUAAAGCACUUUAAGUUGGGAGGAAGGGCAGUAAGUUAAUACCUUGCUGUUUUGACGUUACCAACAGAAUAAGCACCGGCUAACUUCGUG
This 483-nucleotide ribosomal RNA is filed under the name uncultured bacterium. RNAcentral's name for it is "partial 16S ribosomal RNA". It matches the Rfam family "Bacterial small subunit ribosomal RNA", at positions 30 to 507 of the family's 1533-position model. The record is from RNAcentral.